This 209-nucleotide ribosomal RNA is filed under the name uncultured Desulfobulbus sp. RNAcentral describes it as "partial 16S ribosomal RNA". It matches the Rfam family "Bacterial small subunit ribosomal RNA", at positions 1174 to 1382 of the family's 1533-position model. The record is from RNAcentral. Lineage: Bacteria; Pseudomonadati; Thermodesulfobacteriota; Desulfobulbia; Desulfobulbales; Desulfobulbaceae.
UGGGGAUGACGUCAAGUCCUCAUGGCCCUUUAUGACCAGGGCUACACACGUACUACAAUGGCCGAUACAAAGGGCAGCGACACUGCGAGGUGAAGCCAAUCCGUAAAAUCGGUCUCAGUCCGGAUUGGAGUCUGCAACUCGACUCCAUGAAGUUGGAAUCGCUAGUAAUCGUGGAUCAGCAUGCCACGGUGAAUACGUUCCCGGGCCUU